AAGGCUUUAAGUUAAUAUAAACUAUGCGUCUUCAAAACGCAAAAUCUCAAGCUUUC
This 56-nucleotide transfer RNA is filed under the name Rhizoglyphus robini. Its description in RNAcentral is "tRNA-Trp". Lineage: Eukaryota; Metazoa; Arthropoda; Arachnida; Sarcoptiformes; Acaridae. The record is from RNAcentral.